This 556-nucleotide ribosomal RNA is filed under the name Ommastrephes brevimanus. RNAcentral describes it as "partial large subunit ribosomal RNA". It matches the Rfam family "Bacterial large subunit ribosomal RNA", at positions 1793 to 2619 of the family's 2925-position model. The record is from RNAcentral. Lineage: Eukaryota; Metazoa; Mollusca; Cephalopoda; Oegopsida; Ommastrephidae.
UCCUCGCCUGUUUACCAAAAACAUGUCUCUUUGUAAAAUAUAAAUAGAGAGUCGGGCCUGCUCGGUGAAUAAGUUUUUAACAGCUGCGGUAUUUUAACUGUACUAAGGUAGCAUAAUAAUUUGCCUUAUAAUUUGAGGCUAGAAUGAAUGGUUUGACGAAGGUUAAUCUGUCUCCACCUUAUUUUUUAGAAGUUAAUUUUUAAAGUGAAAAAGCUUAAAUCUUUCAAAGGGACGAGAAGACCCUAAUGAGCUUAUAAUUUUAUUAUCAUUAUUUAAAAUAUUUAGGUGGUGGUAUAUAAAUUUUAAUUGGGGUGAUUAAGGAAUAAAUUGUGUAUAGUAACUUCCUUAAAUUAGGUAUUUGUAGAUAAAGUAACCAAUGUAAUAUUGCUUAUAGUAUAGUUACCAUAGGGAUAACAGCGUAAUUUGUUUAGAGAGUUCUUAUUGAAAAACGAGAUUGCGACCUCGAUGUUGGAUUAAAGUAACCCUAGGGUGCAGAAGCUUUAGUAGGUAAAUCUGUUCGAUUUUUAAUACUUUACGUGAUCUGAGUUCAGACCGA